This 320-nucleotide ribosomal RNA is filed under the name uncultured Clostridiaceae bacterium. RNAcentral's name for it is "bacterial SSU rRNA". It matches the Rfam family "Bacterial small subunit ribosomal RNA", at positions 28 to 339 of the family's 1533-position model. Lineage: Bacteria; Bacillati; Bacillota; Clostridia; Eubacteriales; Clostridiaceae. The record is from RNAcentral.
GAUGAACGCUAGCUACAGGCUUAACACAUGCAAGUCGAGGGGCAGCAUAAUCGAAGCUUGCUUUGAUUGAUGGCGACCGGCGGACGGGUGAGUAACGCGUAGGCAACCUGCCCUUAGCAGGGGGAUAGCCAUUGGAAACGAUGAUUAAAACCCCAUAAUACGGAUUUAACACAUGUAAGAUCCGUCAAAGAUUUAUCGGCUAAGGAUGGGCCUGCGUCUGAUUAGAUAGUUGGUGAGGUAACGGCUCACCAAGUCAACGAUCAGUAGCCGACCUGAGAGGGUGAUCGGCCACAUUGGAACUGAGACACGGUCCAAACUCC